Molecule: small RNA, 137 nt
Filed under: Gammaproteobacteria bacterium
Lineage: Bacteria; Pseudomonadati; Pseudomonadota; Gammaproteobacteria
Description: RtT sRNA
Rfam family: RtT RNA
About the family: This family represents a bacterial cis-regulatory element known as RtT RNA. The exact function of RtT is unknown although it is thought that it may be involved in changing the cellular response in relation to amino acid starvation.
Source: RNAcentral
CCCCCGUGGUUCAGGGGGAGGGUUCGAGCCGAUCAGAGGUUCGACAAAGCCGCGCAGCGGCUUUGAACGUCACGCGAAGCGUGGCGGCCCGGAGGGCGGAGGGCCGGAGGCCCGGAGUAAUCCUCCCCCCUCCACCA